RNAcentral lists this ribosomal RNA (476 nucleotides) under Enterobacteriaceae bacterium EKM401G. RNAcentral describes it as "bacterial SSU rRNA". It matches the Rfam family "Bacterial small subunit ribosomal RNA", at positions 1012 to 1488 of the family's 1533-position model. Lineage: Bacteria; Pseudomonadati; Pseudomonadota; Gammaproteobacteria; Enterobacterales; Enterobacteriaceae. The record is from RNAcentral.
UGGUGCCUUCGGGAACCCUGAGACAGGUGCUGCAUGGCUGUCGUCAGCUCGUGUUGUGAAAUGUUGGGUUAAGUCCCGCAACGAGCGCAACCCUUAUCCUUUGUUGCCAGCGGUCCGGCCGGGAACUCAAAGGAGACUGCCAGUGAUAAACUGGAGGAAGGUGGGGAUGACGUCAAGUCAUCAUGGCCCUUACGAGUAGGGCUACACACGUGCUACAAUGGCGCAUACAAAGAGAAGCGAACUCGCGAGAGCAAGCGGACCUCAUAAAGUGCGUCGUAGUCCGGAUCGGAGUCUGCAACUCGACUCCGUGAAGUCGGAAUCGCUAGUAAUCGUGGAUCAGAAUGCCACGGUGAAUACGUUCCCGGGCCUUGUACACACCGCCCGUCACACCAUGGGAGUGGGUUGCAAAAGAAGUAGGUAGCUUAACCUUCGGGAGGGCGCUUACCACUUUGUGAUUCAUGACUGGGGUGAAGUCG